AAAUAGGCUUUUUUACAGCUCUAAUGAAAGCCACACAGACUAACUGAUGUGAUUUAG
Molecule: non-coding RNA, 57 nt
Organism: Astyanax mexicanus (Mexican tetra)
Lineage: Eukaryota; Metazoa; Chordata; Actinopteri; Characiformes; Acestrorhamphidae
Source: Rfam